AUCUACAUCUAAGGGGGGGUUGGAUAUGGGUGAGUUCCAAUACUUAAUAUGAUAAACUAAAAUAAUGCAACAUAGAUACGUUUUAAAAUAUUAAUUAAUGCAUGUUUAGUAAAACAAUAAUUUUAAGUUCAAUUAACAAAUUCAAAUCAAAAGUUAUCGCCAAAUAUUCAUAUCCAAAUCAAAUGUUGAAUUCAUAGGAAUUGUCAUGAAGACGCUCAAU
Molecule: long non-coding RNA, 220 nt
Filed under: Carica papaya (papaya)
Lineage: Eukaryota; Viridiplantae; Streptophyta; Magnoliopsida; Brassicales; Caricaceae
Description: long non-coding RNA (CPAP_LNC014322)
Source: RNAcentral